UGACCAGACUCCUACGGGAGGCAGCAGUGGGGAAUAUUGCACAAUGGGGGGAACCCUGAUGCAGCGACGCCGCGUGAGUGAAGAAGUAUUUCGGUAUGUAAAGCUCUGUCAGCAGGGAAGAAGAAAGACGGUACCUGACCAAGAAGCCCCGGCUAACUACGUGCCAGCAGCCGCGGUAAUACGUAGGGGGCAAGCGUUAUCCGGAUUUACUGGGUGUAAAGGGAGCGUAGACGGCAGGGCAAGUCUGGAGUGAAAGGCAGGGGCCCAGCCCCGGAACUGCUCUGGAAACUGUGCGGCUAGAGUACUGGAGGGGCAGGCGGAAUUCCUAGUGUAGCGGUGAAAUGCGUAGAUAUUAGGAGGAACACCAGUGGCGAAGGCGGUCUGCUGGACAGUAACUGACGUUGAGGCUCGAAAGCGUGGGGAGCAAACAGGAUUAGAUACCCCUGUA
This 448-nucleotide ribosomal RNA is filed under the name uncultured bacterium. RNAcentral's name for it is "bacterial SSU rRNA". It matches the Rfam family "Bacterial small subunit ribosomal RNA", at positions 328 to 792 of the family's 1533-position model. The record is from RNAcentral.